CACGUAGGGCGCGAGCGUUGUCCGGAAUUACUGGGCGUAAAGCGUGCGUAGACGGUAGCGUAAGUCAGAUGUGAAAGCCCCGGGCUCAACCUGGGAAUUGCAUUUGAGACUGCUCUGCUCGGGUGCGGAAGAGGGAAGCGGAAUUUCCGGCGUAGCGGUGAAAUGCGUAGAUAUCGGAAGGAACACCAGUGGCGAAAGCGGCUUCCUGGUCCGACACCGACGUUCAGGCACGAAAGCGUGGGGAGCAAACAGG
This 253-nucleotide ribosomal RNA is filed under the name uncultured bacterium. Its description in RNAcentral is "partial 16S ribosomal RNA". It matches the Rfam family "Bacterial small subunit ribosomal RNA", at positions 524 to 776 of the family's 1533-position model. The record is from RNAcentral.